GACGAACGCUGGCGGCAUGCCUAACACAUGCAAGUCGAACGGAGAUUAUUUCGGUAAUCUUAGUGGCGAACGGGUGAGUAACGCGUGGGCAACCUGCCCUCUAGAUGGGGACAACAUCCCGAAAGGGGUGCUAAUACCGAAUGUGACAGCAAUCUCGCAUGAGGAUGCUGUGAAAGAUGGCCUCUAUUUAUAAGCUAUCGCUAGAGGAUGGGCCUGCGUCUGAUUAGCUAGUUGGUGGGGUAACGGCCUACCAAGGCGAUGAUCAGUAGCCGGUCUGAGAGGAUGAACGGCCACAUUGGGACUGAGACACGGCCCAGACUCCUACGGGAGGCAGCAGUGGGGAAUCUUCCGCAAUGGGCGAAAGCCUGACGGAGCAAUGCCGCGUGAGUGAUGAAGGAAUUCGUUCCGUAAAGCUCUUUUGCUUAUGACGAAUGUGCAGAUUGUGAACAAUGAUCUGUAAUGACGGUAGUAAACGAAUAAGCCACGGCUAACUACGUG
This 498-nucleotide ribosomal RNA is filed under the name uncultured bacterium. RNAcentral's name for it is "partial 16S ribosomal RNA". It matches the Rfam family "Bacterial small subunit ribosomal RNA", at positions 28 to 507 of the family's 1533-position model. The record is from RNAcentral.